This 500-nucleotide ribosomal RNA is filed under the name uncultured bacterium. Its description in RNAcentral is "partial 16S ribosomal RNA". It matches the Rfam family "Bacterial small subunit ribosomal RNA", at positions 28 to 507 of the family's 1533-position model. The record is from RNAcentral.
GACGAACGCUGGCGGCGUGCCUAAUACAUGCAAGUCGAACGAACAGCGACUUGAACUUGUUCAAGUCAAUGUUAGUGGCGCACGGGUGAGUAACACGUGGAGAACCUACCCUUAAGCGGGGGAUAACCAUUGGAAACGAUGACUAAUACCGCAUAGAAUCACAGAUCACAUGAUCAAUGAAGGAAAGACGGCUUCGGCUGUCACUUAAGGAUGGCUCCGCGGUGCAUUAGCUAGAUGGUGGGGUAAAGGCCUACCAUGGCAAUGAUGCAUAGCCGACCUGAGAGGGUGAUCGGCCACAUUGGGACUGAGACACGGCCCAAACUCCUACGGGAGGCAGCAGUAGGGAAUCUUCCGCAAUGGACGCAAGUCUGACGGAGCAACGCCGCGUGUGUGAAGAAGGUCUUCGGAUCGUAAAGCACUGUUGUUAGAGAAGAACGACCGGUAGAGUAACUGUUACCGGAGUGACGGUAUCUAACCAGAAAGCCACGGCUAACUACGUG